CGCACCCCUCCUGGGCAGAGUGGGUCUCCCCAUCUUGCUGCUCCCCUGCUAUGAGCUGGGAGGAAGAAGAGAGCGUGGCCAUCACCUCACGUGUGUAAGGUCUCCUUUUGUCCUCAUGAGGAGGGAUGGAAGGGACCGCCGUUGUCUUUACAAGGUUCCUACACCAAAGGCAGUGGAAAUCGCUGUUGAGGGAGACUCUCUUUUCUGCAUCGCCUGUUCCAUCAAUCUGGGAUCCUGAGUUCUGUCCUGAUGUAAACGACAUGACUGGAAAGUGACAAACCUGGGGCGCAUCAGCUCAGUCCCAGCCCUGCCUCCCCACUGCCCGACCACUGAACGGAACCCUUGACUAACUUACACCAAGGAUAGAAAGAAACAGCCAAAUGAAGAUUGCUUCUGCCCUGGCCUAAAAACCGGUAUCGAAGACGGUCUAUUUUAUUGUUCAUUCCUCUCAGGAUUUGAUUCUGGGGGGAAAAAGUUUCUCUCCUAAAGUUAUGGCAAGUUUCCUUCUGUGGAUAUAUCUAGAUCUAGACAGAUGACUCUAUAUAGAUAUAGGUAUAUAAUUUUUGGCUUGGCUGGGAGAAACCUCAUUUUUUACAAAAAUCUUUUAAAAAUUAUUUAAUUUUUGAGAGAGAGACAGCAUGAGCAGGGGAGGGACAGGGGUGGGGGGACAGAGGAUCUGAAGCAGGCUCCUCACUGACAGUUGGCAAGCCCAACACGGCGCUCGAACCCACGAACCGUGAGAUCAUGAGCUGAGCCGAAGUCAGACGCCUCACCGACUGAGCCCCCCAGGGGCCCCAAUUUUGUUUAUCUUUUCAAAAAACCUGCUGUUAGUUUCACUGAUCUUUUUUUUUUUUAUUGUUGUUUUGGUCUGUAUUUCGUUUAUUUCUGAUUUAAUCUUUUGUUAUUUUCUUCCUUCUGCUAAAACUCUCUAUUCUUCUUUUUCUAGUUCCUGAAAAAGAAAUGUAUU
This 967-nucleotide long non-coding RNA is filed under the name Felis catus (domestic cat). RNAcentral's name for it is "lncRNA (ENSFCAG00000047892.1)". The record is from RNAcentral. Lineage: Eukaryota; Metazoa; Chordata; Mammalia; Carnivora; Felidae.